This 352-nucleotide unclassified non-coding RNA is filed under the name plant metagenome. RNAcentral's name for it is "partial contains small subunit ribosomal RNA, internal transcribed spacer 1, and 5.8S ribosomal RNA". The record is from RNAcentral.
UUUCCGUAGGUGAACCUGCGGAAGGAUCAUUAUAAAUGAAAAACGAAUAACUUCAGGGAAGAAGGGAACCUGCACGGUGACCUCCCCUGUCGGGCCACCCAAUACCUUCAAAAUGCCGCCGUCCUAGCGGUGGCAGACGAAAAAAAAACAAGAAAAACAAAAUAGAAGCAGGCACGGUGGCCCGUUCACCUUCACACAACCCUCCGAGUACCGCUUCCAUGUUGCUUCCCCGCAAAUCCACCUCUUUGGUGAGCGCGGGGGAGGUCCGCAUCAAAUUCACCUGAAUGUCACAGCAGUCAGACAGCCAUUCAUGGAAACAAUAAAACUUUCAACAACGGAUCUCUUGGUUCCC